Molecule: ribosomal RNA, 291 nt
Filed under: uncultured eukaryote
Lineage: Eukaryota
Description: partial 18S ribosomal RNA
Rfam family: Eukaryotic small subunit ribosomal RNA
Source: RNAcentral
GGUUGAUCCUGCCAGUAGUCAUAUGCUUGUCUCAAAGAUUAAGCCAUGCAUGUCUCAGUGUAAACUUUUAAACAGUGAAACUGCGAAUGGCUCAUUAAAACAGUUAUAGUUUAUUUGAUACUCAACUUUACAUGGAUAACCGUGGGAAUUCUAGGGCUAAUACAUGCGUAAACCCGCAAGGGAUGUGUUUAUUAGAUUAAAACCAUCACUGUAGCAAUACAGUCUAUGUGGAAUAAUAAUAACCGAUCGAAUCGCACAUUUAUUUUGCGAUAAAUCAUUCGAGUUUCUGAC